This 812-nucleotide ribosomal RNA is filed under the name uncultured bacterium. RNAcentral describes it as "bacterial SSU rRNA". It matches the Rfam family "Bacterial small subunit ribosomal RNA", at positions 60 to 888 of the family's 1533-position model. The record is from RNAcentral.
AGUCGAGCGAUGAACACCUUCGGGUGUGAAUUAGCGGCGAACGGGUGAGGAACACGUGAAGAAUCUGCCUUCAACUCUGGGAUAACUCCGGGAAACCGGGGCUAAUACCGGAUAUGAGCCUCGAUCGCAUGAUUGGGGCUGGAAAGUUUUUCGGUUGAAGAUGACUUCGCGGCCUAUCAGCUUGUUGGUGAGGUAAUGGCUCACCAAGGCGACGACGGGUAGCCGGCCUGAGAGGGCGACCGGCCACACUGGGACUGAGACACGGCCCAGACUCCUACGGGAGGCAGCAGUGGGGAAUAUUGGGCAAUGGAGGAAACUCUGACCCAGCGACGCCGCGUGAGGGAUGAAGGCCUUCGGGUUGUAAACCUCUUUCAGUAGGGAAGAAGCGAAAGUGACGGUACCUACAGAAGAAGCACCGGCUAACUAUGUGCCAGCAGCCGCGGUAAUACAUAGGGUGCAAGCGUUGUCCGGAAUUAUUGGGCGUAAAGAGCUCGUAGGUGGUUCGAUACGUCGGAUGUGAAAAUCAGGGGCUCAACCCCUGACCUGCAUCCGAUACGGUCGAGCUAGAGUUUGGUAGGGGAGACUGGAAUUCCUGGUGUAGCGGUGGAAUGCGCAGAUAUCAGGAGGAACACCGAUGGCGAAGGCAGGUCUCUGGGCCAAUACUGACACUGAGGAGCGAAAGCGUGGGGAGCGAACAGGAUUAGAUACCCUGGUAGUCCACGCCGUAAACGGUGGGCGCUAGUUGUGCGAACCUUCCACGGUUUGUGCGACGCAGCUAACGCAUUAAGCGCCCCGCCUGGAGAGUACGAUCG